RNAcentral lists this transfer RNA (64 nucleotides) under Meloe poggii. RNAcentral describes it as "tRNA-Leu". It matches the Rfam family "tRNA". From Rfam's summary of the family: Transfer RNA (tRNA) molecules are approximately 80 nucleotides in length. Lineage: Eukaryota; Metazoa; Arthropoda; Insecta; Coleoptera; Meloidae. The record is from RNAcentral.
UCUAAUAUGGCAGACUAGUGUAAUGGACUUAAACCCCAUAUAUAAAGGUUACCUUUUUUUAGAA